AUGGACAUGGCUAUCAUCCUCAUCCUUCUCCUCCUGCCUUUCGUUGGUGCCGAAUGGCAGGUGUGCGGCAGCAGCGGCAACUACACAUCAAACAGCACCUACCAAGCAAACCUCCUGCUCCUCUCCUCCACCCUUCCCAACAAGGCCGUGUCCAACACUAGCAGCCUCUUCGCCACCGCCACCGUGGGUGAUGCUCCGGACAUCGUCUACGCCCUCUCGCUCUGCCGCGGGGACAGUACCGACGCCUCCGACUGUGAGAGCUGCGUGGCUGCCGCCUUCGAAGAUGCGCAGCAGAGCUACCCGUACAAUAAGGAGGCCAGCUUGUACUAUGAUGCCUGCAUGCUCAGGUUCUCCAACCAUAAUUUUCUUCUUGCCAACAGCACCGAAGAUCAUAUGAGCUGGAUCACCAUCCGGAACAACCUCAACUUCACGACAGGGGGCGACUCCCUCAACAGCACGGCCCAAGCGGCUGCAAAAAGCUCGAGGAGGUUCACCACCUCGCGCUUAGGCGUCAACCUCGUCCCGACGACGGUGUACUGCCUUAUGCAGUGCACGCCCGACCUCACGCUCGACGACUGCACGGCUUGUUUACAGCUUGUUUUGAAGCAUACGCUCAAGUCCCUAGACGGAGCGCAAGGUGGUCGAAUUCUAGGGACACGGUGUAGCAUGAGGUACGAGCUAUACCACUUCUACGAAGGGGUCCCCAUGCUUGCAAUUCCGGCCGUCAACGGCACCACGCCGCCUACCAGGUACCCACAUUCCCAGUCGCAUCCACCAGCUGCGGCGCCUCCCCGGCUGGCGCAGGCGACCGUCCAAGAACAGCAGGGAAAGGCAAAUUUAAACCACCAGGCUGCCACCAAUAGACCAGAAGAAGACGAACUGGUCUGGAGAUUGGAGGAGAAGAGUUCAGAGUUCACUCUCUUUGACUUUUCUGAGAUAUUACAUGCUACACAUAACUUCUCCAAAGAAAAUCUACUUGGACAAGGUGGUUUUGGCCCUGUCUACAAGGGCCAAUUACCAGAUGGAAUGCAAAUUGCAGUCAAAAGGCUUGCCUCACAUUCAGGACAGGGUUUUACAGAAUUCAAAAAUGAAGUUGAACUUAUUGCAAAAUUACAGCACAAUAAUCUUGUCAAGCUCUUGGGAUGCUGCAUUCAGGGAGAGGAAAAACUAUUGGUGUACGAGUAUUUGCCAAAUAAGAGCUUGGACUUCUUUAUAUUUGAAAGAAACAGGACAGCUUUUAUUGAUUGGAACAAUAGACGUGCGAUAAUCGAAGGGAUAGCCCAAGGUCUUCUGUAUCUCCACAAGCACUCUCGGUUACGCAUCAUACACAGAGACCUUAAGGCCAGCAACAUUCUUUUGGACAAGGACAUGAAUCCAAAAAUUUCUGAUUUUGGCCUAGCAAAAAUAUUCAGCUCCAAUGAUAUCCAGGGAAGCACAAAGAGGUGGCUAUAUGUCUCCGGAGUAUGCAUCUGA
This 1473-nucleotide ribosomal RNA is filed under the name Triticum aestivum (bread wheat). RNAcentral describes it as "partial small subunit ribosomal RNA". The record is from RNAcentral. Lineage: Eukaryota; Viridiplantae; Streptophyta; Magnoliopsida; Poales; Poaceae.